GCCAGUUUGGCAUAGUGGCUUGAGCUUUGGAUUAUGACUCUGGAGACCAGGGUUCAAAUUCCGGCUUGGCC
Phrynosoma platyrhinos (Desert horned lizard) is the source of this 71-nucleotide non-coding RNA. Lineage: Eukaryota; Metazoa; Chordata; Lepidosauria; Squamata; Phrynosomatidae. The record is from the annotation of a GenBank genome assembly.